UACGAAGGGGGCUAGCGUUGCUCGGAAUCACUGGGCGUAAAGCGCACGUAGGCGGCUUCUUAAGUCAGGGGUGAAAUCCUGGAGCUCAACUCCAGAACUGCCUUUGAUACUGAGAGGCUUGAGUCCGGGAGAGGUGAGUGGAACUGCGAGUGUAGAGGUGAAAUUCGUAGAUAUUCGCAAGAACACCAGUGGCGAAGGCAGCUAACUAUUCUGUUCCUGACAUUGAGGCAUGAAAGCGUGGGGAGCAAAACGG
RNAcentral lists this ribosomal RNA (253 nucleotides) under uncultured bacterium. RNAcentral describes it as "partial 16S ribosomal RNA". It matches the Rfam family "Bacterial small subunit ribosomal RNA", at positions 524 to 776 of the family's 1533-position model. The record is from RNAcentral.